UAAACGAUGUCAACUGGUUGUUGGGGGAGUGAAAUCCCUUAGUAACGAAGCUAACGCGUGAAGUUGACCGCCUGGGGAGUACGGUCGCAAGAUUAAAACUCAAAGGAAUUGACGGGGACCCGCACAAGCGGUGGAUGAUGUGGAUUAAUUCGAUGCAACGCGAAAAACCUUACCUACCCUUGACAUGUCCGGAAUCCUGCAGAGAUGCGGGAGUGCCCGAAAGGGAAUCGGAACACAGGUGCUGCAUGGCUGUCGUCAGCUCGUGUCGUGAGAUGUUGGGUUAAGUCCCGCAACGAGCGCAACCCUUAUCAUUAGUUGCUACGCAAGGGCACUCUAAUGAGACUGCCGGUGACAAACCGGAGGAAGGUGGGGAUGACGUCAAGUCCUCAUGGCCCUUAUGGGUAGGGCUUCACACGUCAUACAAUGGUCGGUACAGAGGGUUGCCAAGCCGCGAGGUGGAGCCAAUCCCAGAAAGCCGAUCGUAGUCCGGAUUGUUCUCUGCAACUCGAGAGCAUGAAGUCGGAAUCGCUAGUAAUCGCGGAUCAGCAUGUCGCGGUGAAUACGUUNCCGGGUCUUGUACACACCGCCCGUCACACCAUGGGAGUGGAAUCUGCCAGAAGUAGGUAGCCUAACCGCAAGGG
Molecule: ribosomal RNA, 641 nt
Filed under: uncultured bacterium
Lineage: Bacteria
Description: bacterial SSU rRNA
Rfam family: Bacterial small subunit ribosomal RNA
Source: RNAcentral